AGAUCACGCAUCUCACGGCUUGACGAUCAAGGGGGCAAAGCCUCGGUCUUCAUAGAAAAGGAGAGGAGGCAAACGCAGCCCAAACUGGGGGGUUUCUCUUCAAAGCCAGCUGGUCUGGCUUUAUUCUACAGGAAUUUUUUUACCUGUCAGGGUUUGGACAACAAAGCCCUCAGCAGGUGCUGACGGGUACAACUUCCUGGAGAAGCAGAAAGGCACUGAGAAAACAUCUUGCUCUGUUGCUCAGGCUGGAGCGCAAUGGUGCCAUCGUAGCUUACUGUAACCUUGAACGUCUGUGCUCAAGCAAUCUUCCUGCCUCAGCCUCCUGAGUAGCUGGGACUACAGUAGAGAUGUGGUUUCACUGGGUUAGCCAGGAUAGUCUCGAUCUCCUGACCUUGUGGUCCGCCUGCCUCGGCCUUCCAAAGUGCUGGAAUUACAGGUGUGAGCCACCGCGCCCGGCCAAGGGUCGAUGUUGCACAGGUGAAUACAGAGGCUUUCUAAAGAAAUUGAUGAGAGAUGGAGUUUUGCUCUUGUUGCCCAAGCUGGAGUGCAAUGGCGUGAUCUCAGCUUACUGCAACCUCUGCCUCCUGGGUUCAAGCAAUUCUCCUGCCUCAGUUUCCCGAGUAGCUGGGAUUACAGGUGUGUGCUACCAUGCCUGGCUAAUUUUUUGUAUUUUUAGUAGAAACAGGGUUUCACCAUGUUGGCCAGGCUGGUCUCGAACUCCUGACCUCGUGAUCCAUCCGCCUUGGCCUCCCAAGGUGCUGGGAUUACAGGCAUGCGCCCCGCCUGAGCUAAGAUUUUCAAAUAACUUUCUUUCCUCUUGAGAAUGGUUUGCUUUGGUCAAGUUCCUAGGUGUGGGAUUGUUGGAUCAAAGAGUAUGAGCAUUGUUGAGUCUCUUGAUACCCUUUGGCAAAAUGCUUUGCAAAGGGCUUGUUUCCAGCAGUCCUCAUGUACAUUGUUUCAGUGAGCUUCUUUAUUUCUUUCCUACUGCAACUCUCUAACAAGGAACAUUACGAGAAAAAGGUUUCCCAGCUCAUUUACAAUGGAUAAAUGAAUUUUUUUUUUUUUUUAGAUGAAGUCUCGCUCUGUCGCCCAGGCUGGAGUGCAGUGGCACAAUCUCUGCUCACUGCAAGCUCUGCCUCCUGGGUUCACGCCAUUCUCCUGCCUCAGCCUCCCAAGUAGCUGGGACUACAGGCGCCCACCACCAUGCCCAGCUAAUUUUUUGUAUUUUUUUUUUUUAGUAGAGACGAGGUUUCACUGUGUUAGCCAGGAUGGUCUUGAUCUCCUGACCUUGUGAUCCACCCGCCUCGGCCUCCCAAAGUGCUGGGAUUACAGGCGUGAGCCACCGCACCCGGCUACAAUGGAUAAAUGAUUUCUUAUUGUACUUUUAAUUUGCAUUUCUUUGAUUACUGUGAGGUUGAACCAUUUAAAAAUAAGCAUUGCCUUUUGUGUGAAUUGUGUUUCUUCUUUUGAGGAACAUUCCUCCUGCAUUCUUUGGCUCCCCUCCCCGCCCCAGACAUACAUUAGACUUUCCAAAGACUUGGAAAUUAACACUUCGUGGGUCAUAUUUACAGCAAUUAUUUACUCUGGUAAUUUCCUUUUCAUUUUAAUUGUACUAUUUUCAGGACUUUUAUGUGUUUUCAAAUGAAGAUCUUCUCAUCUGUGAUUGCUUCAAAGCUUGGAAAAUAAUAAUAACAUCAACGAAGUGAAAAUUACCCAAUUUUAUUUUUUCCUUCUAUUAUAUAUUUGUAUUAAGCUCUUUCAUCAACAUGGAAAAAAAUGACAGUAUUUAUGAUAGUCACACACACACACACGGAAUGUGAGAGGGGGAGGGUAUUUGUGAAAAGACCACAAAUUAGAUUGGGCAAAAUGGCUCAUACCUAUAAUCCUAGUACUUUGGGAGGACGAGGAAGGACGAUUUCUGAAAGCCAGGAGUUUGAGACCAGCUUGGGCAACAUAGUGAGACCUCAUCUCUAUAAAAAAUACAAAAAUUAGCUGGACAUGGUGGUGUGUACUUGUAGUCCCAGCUACUUAGGAGGCUGUGGCAGGAGGAUUGCUUGACCUGAG
This 2064-nucleotide long non-coding RNA is filed under the name Homo sapiens (human). Its description in RNAcentral is "HSALNT0341395". Lineage: Eukaryota; Metazoa; Chordata; Mammalia; Primates; Hominidae. The record is from RNAcentral.